This 383-nucleotide ribosomal RNA is filed under the name uncultured eukaryote. RNAcentral's name for it is "partial 18S ribosomal RNA". It matches the Rfam family "Eukaryotic small subunit ribosomal RNA", at positions 592 to 976 of the family's 1831-position model. The record is from RNAcentral.
CAAUAGCGUAUAUUAAAGUUGUUGCAGUUAAAAAGCUCGUAGUUGGAUUUCUGGUGGGAGCGAUCGGUCUGGCGCUUAGCGCGAGUACUUGCAUCGUCUCCGGCCAUCCUUGGGGAAAGUCUGUCUGGCAUUAAGUUGUCGGACAGAGGAUCCUCAUCGUUUACUGUGAAAAAAUUAGAGUGUUCAAAGCAGGCUUAUGCCGUUGAAUAUAUUAGCAUGGAAUAAUAAGAUAGGACUUUGGUACUAUUUUGUUGGUUUGCGCACCAAAGUAAUGAUUAAUAGGGACAGUUGGGGGUAUUCGUAUUCCGUUGUCAGAGGUGAAAUUCUUGGAUUUACGGAAGACGAACUACUGCGAAAGCAUUUACCAAGGAUGUUUUCAUUAA